Molecule: ribosomal RNA, 479 nt
Filed under: uncultured bacterium
Lineage: Bacteria
Description: partial 16S ribosomal RNA
Rfam family: Bacterial small subunit ribosomal RNA
Source: RNAcentral
GAUGAACGCUGGCGGCGUGCUUAACACAUGCAAGUCGAGCGAAGCACUUUGGAAAGAUUCUUCGGAUGAUUUCCUUUGUGACUGAGCGGCGGACGGGUGAGUAACGCGUGGGUAACCUGCCUCAUACAGGGGGAUAACAGUUAGAAAUGACUGCUAAUACCGCAUAAGACCACGGUACCGCAUGGUACCGUGGUAAAAACUCCGGUGGUAUGAGAUGGACCCGCGUCUGAUUAGGUAGUUGGUGGGGUAACGGCCUACCAAGCCGACGAUCAGUAGCCGACCUGAGAGGGUGACCGGCCACAUUGGGACUGAGACACGGCCCAGACUCCUACGGGAGGCAGCAGUGGGGAAUAUUGCACAAUGGAGGAAACUCUGAUGCAGCGACGCCGCGUGAAGGAUGAAGUAUUUCGGUAUGUAAACUUCUAUCAGCAGGGAAGAAAAUGACGGUACCUGACUAAGAAGCCCCGGCUAACUACGUG